RNAcentral lists this long non-coding RNA (654 nucleotides) under Nicotiana benthamiana. Its description in RNAcentral is "long non-coding RNA (NBEN_LNC031663)". The record is from RNAcentral. Lineage: Eukaryota; Viridiplantae; Streptophyta; Magnoliopsida; Solanales; Solanaceae.
CAUUUGAAUACCCAAAUUAUAUUAAUUACAAAAAUAUAUAAAGACAUUCAUGGAAUACAAUAAGACAUUGAAUACAUUGAAAUAAAUGAAAUACACCAAGAUACAGUGAAAUACAAUAAAUACUUGGUGUUGUGAAGUAAAACUAAGAGAAGUCAAUGCUUCCUUCAUACAUGAAGUAAACCUUCCCUCAGCAACAGCAUGGUCUUUUAAAUGCUCCACCAUAUCAGCCAACCACUGAAUUGCCAUCUCGCAAUUCUCCUCUAAAAAUCUUAAUGCUUCUUCAAGUCUCUUGAGCACGCCAAGGUAUCCCGGGAGGUCUGAUUGAUUGAGGAUCGGACACGGACUUCUCUAGUCCAUAAAUGGCAUCAAACAAUUAGAGAACUGCGGUGGCAGGAACCACGGCACGGUUAAUAUGGUCACUCACAGCCCCAAGGGAAUCUUUCUAAUCCCUAAUUGGCCUAAUUGCAGCCUCCAACGAUGGCAGAGUCUUCGGCGGUGGUGAGGUUGAAGCAGAGUCUUCGCCGAGAAACUCUAAUUCGGAUGCUUUGCCAAAGAGUUUUGAUAGUAAGAAGAAGGUGAAAGAUAAGAGGGGGAGGAGGGGAGAAUAGAUACGGGAUAUGGGAUACGAGAAAUUUGAGAGGAUAAGAGAAAUUU